CCUACGGGAGGCAGCAGUGAGGAAUAUUGGACAAUGGGCGCAAGCCUGAUCCAGCCAUGCCGCGUGCAGGAAGAAGCAUCUAUGGUGUGUAAACUGCUUUUGUACAGGAAGAAACACUCCCUCGUGAGGGAGCUUGACGGUACUGUAAGAAUAAGGACCGGCUAACUCCGUGCCAGCAGCCGCGGUAAUACGGAGGGUCCGAGCGUUAUCCGGAAUCAUUGGGUUUAAAGGGUCCGUAGGCGGUUUAAUAAGUCAGUGGUGAAAUCUGGUCGCUCAACGAUCAAACGGCCAUUGAUACUGUUAGACUUGAAUUAUAAGGAAGUAACUAGAAUAUGUAGUGUAGCGGUGAAAUGCUUAGAUAUUACAUGGAAUACCAAUUGCGAAGGCAGGUUACUACUUAUGGAUUGACGCUGAUGGACGAAAGCGUGGGGAGCGAACAGGAUUAGAUACCCUGGUAGUCCACGCCGUAAACGAUGGAUACUAGNUGUGNGCAUNUGAGUGNGUAGAGAAGAGAUAAGUA
This 520-nucleotide ribosomal RNA is filed under the name uncultured bacterium. RNAcentral's name for it is "bacterial SSU rRNA". It matches the Rfam family "Bacterial small subunit ribosomal RNA", at positions 338 to 866 of the family's 1533-position model. The record is from RNAcentral.